GUGAACGCUGGCGGUAGGCCUAACACAUGCAAGUCGAACGGCAGCACAGUAAGAGCUUGCUCUUACGGGUGGCGAGUGGCGGACGGGUGAGGAAUACAUCGGAAUCUACUUUUUCGUGGGGGAUAACGUAGGGAAACUUACGCUAAUACCGCAUACGACCUACGGGUGAAAGCAGGGGAUCUUCGGACCUUGCGCGAUUGAAUGAGCCGAUGUCGGAUUAGCUAGUUGGCGGGGUAAAGGCCCACCAAGGCGACGAUCCGUAGCUGGUCUGAGAGGAUGAUCAGCCACACUGGAACUGAGACACGGUCCAGACUCCUACGGGAGGCAGCAGUGGGGAAUAUUGGACAAUGGGCGCAAGCCUGAUCCAGCCAUACCGCGUGGGUGAAGAAGGCCUUCGGGUUGUAAAGCCCUUUUGUUGGGAAAGAAAAGCAGCAGGUUAAUACCCCGCUGUUCUGACGGUACCCAAAGAAUAAGCAUCGGCUAACUUCGUG
This 491-nucleotide ribosomal RNA is filed under the name uncultured bacterium. RNAcentral's name for it is "partial 16S ribosomal RNA". It matches the Rfam family "Bacterial small subunit ribosomal RNA", at positions 29 to 507 of the family's 1533-position model. The record is from RNAcentral.